RNAcentral lists this unclassified non-coding RNA (554 nucleotides) under Melitaea cinxia (Glanville fritillary). RNAcentral's name for it is "misc RNA ENSMCXG00005009012.1". Lineage: Eukaryota; Metazoa; Arthropoda; Insecta; Lepidoptera; Nymphalidae. The record is from RNAcentral.
GAGCGCACCGAACAUGCGAGUGAAGCCACCAAAGCGAAUACAAAAUCAAAAGCGAAUACAAAGUCGCAGCAGUGCUAAAGAUAGCGUCGUAUUGUUUAAACGUCUCGAGUGAUUCAUUAUUUUGUGUCAAAAAAUGCCGUCUUGUGUUAUUAAACAUUGUGAAAGUUGUUCCCAAAAAUAAAAAAAAGAGGAUGGAAUUUCAUUUCACAGAUUACCGACAGAUGUUGUUCUACGCGAGGAAUGGGUUUCUAUUAUUCGCCAAAGCAGGCAAGACAAUAAUUGGCAGGCUUCAAAAUUUUGCGUUGUGUGUUCAUUACAUUUUAAAGAGGAUAGCUUAUGCUUUACCGAAAAAUGUCGUUGGUUGAUAAAAAAAAAAUCCAAUGUAAUUAUUUGUAAUACUAUCUAAUCUUUUGGUCUAGUCUUUAAGUUGUCUGUAUAUCGAUGUAUGUGUGUGUGUGUGAAUAAAUGAUGAUGAUGAUGAUUAUUAUUAUUAUUAUUAAUAAAUAUUUUAAAUUAUGUAUUUUUUUUUAAUUUGUCUAAUGAAAUAAAUAUGA